CCUACGGGCGGCUGCAGUGAGGAAUAUUGGUCAAUGGGCGCGAGCCUGAACCAGCCAAGUAGCGUGAAGGAUGACUGCCCUACGGGUUGUAAACUUCUUUUGUAAAGGAAUAAAGUGAGGCACGUUUGCCCUUUUGUAUGUGCUUUAUGAAUCAGGAUCGGCUAACUCCGUGCCAGCAGCCGCGGUAAUUCGGAGGAUACGAGCGUUAUCCGGAUUUAUUGGGGUUAAAGGGAGCGUAGAUGGGUUGUUAAGUCAGUUGUGAAAGUCUGCGGCUCAACCGUAAGAUUGCAAUUGAUACUGGCAGUCUUGAGUACAGUUGAGGUAGGCGGAAUUCGUGGUGUAGCAGUGAAAUGCGUAGAUAUCGAGAGGAACACUCGUGGCGAAGGCGGGUUCCUGGACAUUAACUGACGCUGAGGCACGAAGGCCAGGGGAGCGAAAGGGAUUAGAUACCCCAGUAGUC
RNAcentral lists this ribosomal RNA (460 nucleotides) under uncultured bacterium. RNAcentral's name for it is "partial 16S ribosomal RNA". It matches the Rfam family "Bacterial small subunit ribosomal RNA", at positions 338 to 795 of the family's 1533-position model. The record is from RNAcentral.